RNAcentral lists this ribosomal RNA (498 nucleotides) under uncultured bacterium. Its description in RNAcentral is "partial 16S ribosomal RNA". It matches the Rfam family "Bacterial small subunit ribosomal RNA", at positions 27 to 507 of the family's 1533-position model. The record is from RNAcentral.
GGAUGAACGCUGGCGGCGUGCCUAAUACAUGCAAGUCGAGCGAACAGACGAGGAGCUUGCUCCUCUGACGUUAGCGGCGGCCGGGUGAGUAACACGUGGAUAACCUACCUAUAAGACUGGGAUAACUUCGGGAAACCGGAGCUAAUACCGGAUAAUAUAUUGAACCUCAUGGUUCAAUAGUGAAAGACGGUUUUGCUGUCACUUAUAGAUGGAUCCGCGCCGCAUUAGCUAGUUGGUAAGGUAACGGCUUACCAAGGCGACGAUGCGUAGCCGACCUGAGAGGGUGAUCGGCCACACUGGAACUGAGACACGGUCCAGACUCCUACGGGAGGCAGCAGUAGGGAAUCUUCCGCAAUGGGCGAAAGCCUGACGGAGCAACGCCGCGUGAGUGAUGAAGGUCUUCGGAUCGUAAAACUCUGUUAUUAGGGAAGAACAAAUGUGUAAGUAACUAUGCACGUCUUGACGGUACCUAAUCAGAAAGCCACGGCUAACUACGUG